Molecule: long non-coding RNA, 1192 nt
Filed under: Apteryx owenii (little spotted kiwi)
Lineage: Eukaryota; Metazoa; Chordata; Aves; Apterygiformes; Apterygidae
Description: lncRNA (ENSAOWG00000016811.1)
Source: RNAcentral
CCGGCACCCGCGGGGGCGCGUUGAAGCCCGUGUCACGGCGUGUCAUGGCGUGCGGCGACGCGUGUGGGUGCGCGUCGCGGCGUGUGGGUGCGUGUCGUGGCUUGUCAUGGCGUGUCGCGACACGUGUGGGUGCAUGUCAUGGCGUGCGGGUGUGUGUCAUGGCUUGUCAUGGCGUGUUGCGACGCGUGUGGGUGCACGUCAUAGCGCGUGGGUGCGYGUGGGUGCGUGUCACGGCAUGUGGACGCGUGAAGGCGCGUGUCACGGCGCGUGGCGUAUCACGGCGUGUCAUGGCGUGUCGCGACGUGUGGGUGCACGCCACAGCGUGUGGGUCUGUGUUAAGGUCUGUGUCACAGCGUGUUGCAGCGUGUGGGUGCGUGUCCCGGCGUGUGGCAAUGCGGGUGAGUGCAUGUCACGGCAUGUGGGUGCGUGUCAUGGUGUUUGGGUGCGCGUGGGCGCGUGCCCCGGCGUGUGGGGCCGUGUGUGGGUGCGUGUGGGUGCGUGUGGGUGCGUGUCAGGGCGUGCGGGUCCGGGUUGGUGCAUGCGGGUGCGUGUGGGGCCGCGUGUCAUGGCGUGUGGGUGCAUGUGGCCAUGUGUGGACAUGUGUGGAUGCAUGUGGGUGCAUGUGGGUGCGUGUCCCGGCAUGCGGGGAUGUGUGUGCGUGUGCGUCAUGGCGUGUGGAUGCAUGUGGCCGCAUGUUGCGGUGUGCGGGGACGCGUGUGGGUGCGUGUGGGGCCGUGUAUGGCCGCGUGUGGGCGCGGGUGGACAUGUGCGGCUGCGUGUGGACACGUGUGGAUGCGUGUGGGCACGUGUGGCUGCAUGCAGCUGCAUGUGGCUGUGUGUGGGGGGCUGUGUGGCGACGCGUGUGGACACGUGUGGGUGCGCGGGGGUGCAUGUGGACAUGUGUCAUGGCGUGCGGGUGCAUGUCCCGGCCUGUGCGUGCAUGUGGGUGCGUGUCCCGGUGUGGGGGGACGCGUGUGGCGACGCGUGUGGCCGUGUGUGGGUGCGUGUCAUGGCAUGUGGAGGCGUGUGGGGCUGUGUGGUGAUGCGUGUGGACGYGUGUGGCUGCAGGUGGGUGUGUGUGGCCGCGUGUGGAGACGUGUGGACACGCGUGUCAUGGCGUGUGGGUGUGUGUGGAGGCGUGUGGGGCCGUGUGGCGACGCGUGUGGGUGCGUGUGGGUGCGUGGGGACACGU